This 253-nucleotide ribosomal RNA is filed under the name uncultured bacterium. RNAcentral describes it as "partial 16S ribosomal RNA". It matches the Rfam family "Bacterial small subunit ribosomal RNA", at positions 524 to 776 of the family's 1533-position model. The record is from RNAcentral.
UACGUAGGGAGCAAGCGUUGUUCGGAUUUACUGGGCGUAAAGGGCGCGUAGGCGGCGCGGUAAGUCACUUGUGAAAUCUCUGAGCUUAACUCAGAACGGCCAAGUGAUACUGCAGUGCUAGAGUGCAGAAAGGGCAAUCGGAAUUCUUGGUGUAGCGGUGAAAUGCGUAGAUAUCGUCUGGAACGCCUGUGGUGAAGACGGGUGACUGGGCAGGUUCUGACACUGAGGCACGAAAGCGUGGGGAGCGAACGGG